AAGUCGUAACAAGGUUUCCGUAGGUGAACCUGCGGAAGGAUCAUCAAUAAAUCCUAACGGUUUAUAGUUUAAAAUUUAACUAUAAAUCGAAACUUUAUUGUGAACUGUUUAACGUAUUUUAGUUGAGAGUAAAAAUAUGUGAUGUGAUGUCUUGGUUGUUAGACAAAGACGGAUCAGCUCUCAACUAAAAAAAUUUAUACAAACUGUUGAUUUUUUUUAAUAAGUUGGUUAUUUUAUAACAGGAGACUGUUAGUUUUAAUUAUAAAUACAACUUAUAGCGAUGGAUCUCUAGGCUCUG
Molecule: unclassified non-coding RNA, 298 nt
Filed under: fungal sp.
Lineage: Eukaryota; Fungi
Description: partial internal transcribed spacer region
Rfam family: Eukaryotic small subunit ribosomal RNA (bases 1-46)
Source: RNAcentral